RNAcentral lists this long non-coding RNA (1080 nucleotides) under Coturnix japonica (Japanese quail). Its description in RNAcentral is "lncRNA (ENSCJPG00005007812.1)". The record is from RNAcentral. Lineage: Eukaryota; Metazoa; Chordata; Aves; Galliformes; Phasianidae.
AUGUGUCUCACAGCACAUUGUGGUUGCAUCAAGCGCUGUGUGGUGGUACCAAGCCUGAUUGCAGUCCCAUGGGAGCAUGAGGCACUGCUGAAGAAGGGCUGUGAGCGUGAGGUGGCAGUGCUGUGGUUGCAGAAAGAGAAGCACGUGGAGGUGGAGAUGAGUUUUGGGAUGAAACCUUCUGUAAUAUCUGACAAGACCACACACUGCUGCCAGGAUUGCUGCUCUCAACCAGACAGGGGACUCGGAGCAUGGAGGAAAGUCUACAGCUCCAAUAUGCCCUGUAAAAGGUAUGAAGAGGGAUUGAAGGACAGGAAUAGUGCUGGGACUCAGAGGACUGAGGCACCUUUUCUUAAGGUGAAGAGGAUUCUGUAGAUCUAAUGGAGACAGUGCUGAGUAGGGCAUGCAGCCUCUUUGCUGUGUAAAUGAACACAACAAUGCAGUGUCCUUUAACAAUGAGUGUGUAGCUUCAUGCUAAGGAUCCUUCAACGGGGGAUCCUGACCCUGUCUUCCACUUGCUCCUGCCCUGUGCAGGGUGCUGCUGCCUCUGCUCUCAUAUCUGGUGUGUCCAGGAGUGGUGAAAGUGAGCUAUCUAAGAAAAAAAUAGAUAAAAUACAGCAAGAAGUGCAUAGUAAAAUAGAUGGGCAGUAGGUCAUUUUAUAGCUCUUUCUUAGCUAAGCUGGUGCAAAUGAAAGGAAUAAUCAGCUCUUGGGGACAGGAGAUGGCAGGGAGGAGGGUGGAUUGUGAAGGCAGGGGAGAAAACUCAAUCAAUGCUGCUACCAAAGUAUUAGAAACAUUAUCAUACACCCUUAAGUAACUGGAAUGGGAUUCAUCUAACUUGUCAAAAAGAGAGGUGUGCAUACGGGCACCAGGCACAUCUGUGGAGUAUCCUAUGCCAUGUGGUAAAUCAGCUCCUGGCUGCCUGAGUUGCUCUUUCUAUCCUUUGUGAGGGAGUCCAGAUGCCCAGCUGACCCAGGUGACUAACUUAGCUAAAGUGAGCUCAGAUUAAUGCUAUUCUUACUCUUCAAUUAGGUUAUUGUCUGAGUUUACAAAUAAAUCCAUAAACUAGUUUGAUUAUGAACA